CAGUCGCCACGGUAAUACGUAGGUGGCAAGCGUUGUCCGGAAUUAUUGGGCGUAAAGGGCUCGCAGGCGGUUUCUUAAGUCUGAUGUGAAAGCCCCCGGCUCAACCGGGGAGGGUCAUUGGAGACUGGGAAACUUGAGUGCAGAAGAGGAGAGUGGAAUUCCACGUGUAGCGGCGAAAUGCGUAGAGAUGUGGAGGAACACCAGUGGCGAAGGCGACUCUCUGGUCUGUAACUGACGCUGAGGAGCGAAAGCGUGGGGAGCGAACAGGAUUAGAUACCCCCGUAGUCCCUGUCUCUUAUAC
Molecule: ribosomal RNA, 301 nt
Filed under: uncultured bacterium
Lineage: Bacteria
Description: partial 16S ribosomal RNA
Rfam family: Bacterial small subunit ribosomal RNA
Source: RNAcentral